RNAcentral lists this ribosomal RNA (923 nucleotides) under uncultured bacterium. RNAcentral's name for it is "bacterial SSU rRNA". It matches the Rfam family "Bacterial small subunit ribosomal RNA", at positions 1 to 916 of the family's 1533-position model. RNAcentral also lists the same sequence under 1 other name. The record is from RNAcentral.
UGGAUCCAGACUUUGAUCCUGGCUCAGGAUGAACGCUAGCUACAGGCUUAACACAUGCAAGUCGAGGGGCAGCAUGAUUGAAGCUUGCUUCAAUUGAUGGCGACCGGCGCACGGGUGAGUAACACGUAUCCAACCUUCCGUACACUCAGGGAUAGCCUUUCGAAAGAAAGAUUAAUACCUGAUGGUAUCUUAAGCACACAUGUAAUUAAGAUUAAAGAUUCAUCGGUGUACGAUGGGGAUGCGUUCCAUUAGGUAGUAGGCGGGGUAACGGCCCACCUAGCCUACGAUGGAUAGGGGUUCUGAGAGGAAGGUCCCCCACAUUGGAACUGAGACACGGUCCAAACUCCUACGGGAGGCAGCAGUGAGGAAUAUUGGUCAAUGGACGAGAGUCUGAACCAGCCAAGUAGCGUGAAGGAUGAAGGUCCUACGGAUUGUAAACUUCUUUUAUAAGGGAAUAAAACCUCCCACGUGUGGGAGCUUGUAUGUACCUUAUGAAUAAGCAUCGGCUAACUCCGUGCCAGCAGCCGCGGUAAUACGGAGGAUGCGAGCGUUAUCCGGAUUUAUUGGGUUUAAAGGGAGCGCAGACGGGUCGUUAAGUCAGCUGUGAAAGUUUGGGGCUCAACCUUAAAAUUGCAGUUGAUACUGGCGUCCUUGAGUGCGGUUGAGGUGUGCGGAAUUCGUGGUGUAGCGGUGAAAUGCUUAGAUAUCACGAAGAACUCCGAUUGCGAAGGCAGCACACUAAGCCGUAACUGACGUUCAUGCUCGAAGGUGUGGGUAUCAAACAGGAUUAGAUACCCUGGUAGUCCACACGGUAAACGAUGGAUACUCGCUGUUGGCGAUAUACGGUCAGCGGCUUAGCGAAAGCGUUAAGUAUCCCACCUGGGGAGUACGCCGGCAACGGUGCAACUCAAAGGAAUUGACGG